GGGGUAUAGCUCAGUUGGUAGAGCGUCUGAUUUGCAUUCAGAAGGUCAGGAGUUCGAAUCUCCUUAUCUCC
RNAcentral lists this transfer RNA (71 nucleotides) under bovine gut metagenome. It matches the Rfam family "tRNA". Rfam says of the family: Transfer RNA (tRNA) molecules are approximately 80 nucleotides in length. Their secondary structure includes four short double-helical elements and three loops (D, anti-codon, and T loops). The record is from RNAcentral.